This 1330-nucleotide ribosomal RNA is filed under the name Staphylococcus aureus. Its description in RNAcentral is "partial 23S ribosomal RNA". It matches the Rfam family "Bacterial large subunit ribosomal RNA", at positions 1 to 1333 of the family's 2925-position model. Lineage: Bacteria; Bacillati; Bacillota; Bacilli; Caryophanales; Staphylococcaceae. The record is from RNAcentral.
GAUUAAGUUAUUAAGGGCGCACGGUGGAUGCCUUGGCACUAGAAGCCGAUGAAGGACGUUACUAACGACGAUAUGCUUUGGGGAGCUGUAAGUAAGCUUUGAUCCAGAGAUUUCCGAAUGGGGAAACCCAGCAUGAGUUAUGUCAUGUUAUCGAUAUGUGAAUACAUAGCAUAUCAGAAGGCACACCCGGAGAACUGAAACAUCUUAGUACCCGGAGGAAGAGAAAGAAAAUUCGAUUCCCUUAGUAGCGGCGAGCGAAACGGGAAGAGCCCAAACCAACAAGCUUGCUUGUUGGGGUUGUAGGACACUCUAUACGGAGUUACAAAGGACGACAUUAGACGAAUCAUCUGGAAAGAUGAAUCAAAGAAGGUAAUAAUCCUGUAGUCGAAAAUGUUGUCUCUCUUGAGUGGAUCCUGAGUACGACGGAGCACGUGAAAUUCCGUCGGAAUCUGGGAGGACCAUCUCCUAAGGCUAAAUACUCUCUAGUGACCGAUAGUGAACCAGUACCGUGAGGGAAAGGUGAAAAGCACCCCGGAAGGGGAGUGAAAUAGAACCUGAAACCGUGUGCUUACAAGUAGUCAGAGCCCGUUAAUGGGUGAUGGCGUGCCUUUUGUAGAAUGAACCGGCGAGUUACGAUUUGAUGCAAGGUUAAGCAGUAAAUGUGGAGCCGUAGCGAAAGCGAGUCUGAAUAGGGCGUUUAGUAUUUGGUCGUAGACCCGAAACCAGGUGAUCUACCCUUGGUCAGGUUGAAGUUCAGGUAACACUGAAUGGAGGACCGAACCGACUUACGUUGAAAAGUGAGCGGAUGAACUGAGGGUAGCGGAGAAAUUCCAAUCGAACCUGGAGAUAGCUGGUUCUCUCCGAAAUAGCUUUAGGGCUAGCCUCAAGUGAUGAUUAUUGGAGGUAGAGCACUGUUUGGACGAGGGGCCCCUCUCGGGUUACCGAAUUCAGACAAACUCCGAAUGCCAAUUAAUUUAACUUGGGAGUCAGAACAUGGGUGAUAAGGUCCGUGUUCGAAAGGGAAACAGCCCAGACCACCAGCUAAGGUCCCAAAAUAUAUGUUAAGUGGAAAAGGAUGUGGCGUUGCCCAGACAACUAGGAUGUUGGCUUAGAAGCAGCCAUCAUUUAAAGAGUGCGUAAUAGCUCACUAGUCGAGUGACACUGCGCCGAAAAUGUACCGGGGCUAAACAUAUUACCGAAGCUGUGGAUUGUCCUUUGGACAAUGGUAGGAGAGCGUUCUAAGGGCGUUGAAGCAUGAUCGUAAGGACAUGUGGAGCGCUUAGAAGUGAGAAUGCCGGUGUGAGUAGCGAAAGACGGGUGAGAAUCCCGU